This 459-nucleotide ribosomal RNA is filed under the name uncultured bacterium. RNAcentral's name for it is "partial 16S ribosomal RNA". It matches the Rfam family "Bacterial small subunit ribosomal RNA", at positions 338 to 795 of the family's 1533-position model. The record is from RNAcentral.
CCUACGGGUGACAGCAGUGAGGAAUAUUGGUCAAUGGCCGAGAGGCUGAACCAGCCAAGUCGCGUGAGGGAAGACGGCCCUACGGGUUGUAAACCUCUUUUGUCGGGGAGCAAAGCGAGUCACGUGUGACUCAUUGAGAGUCCCCGAAGAAAAAGCAUCGGCAAACUCCGUGCCAGCAGCCGCGGUAAUACGGGGGAUGCGAGCGUUAUCCGGAUUUAUUGGGGUAAAGGGGUGCUCAGACGGAGGUGCAAGUCAGCGGUAAAAUUACGGGGCUCAACCCCGUACUGCCUUUGAAACUGCAGUCCUUGAGAGGUCGAGAGGCAUGCGGAAGGCGUGGGGUAGCGGGGAAAUGCGUAGAUAUAACGCAGAACUCCGAUGGCGAAGGCAGCAUACUGGCGCGUAACUGACGCUGAUGCACGAAAGCGUGGGUAGCGAACAGGAUUAGAUACCCGAGUAGUC